This 229-nucleotide long non-coding RNA is filed under the name Elaeis guineensis (African oil palm). RNAcentral's name for it is "long non-coding RNA (EGUI_LNC044671)". Lineage: Eukaryota; Viridiplantae; Streptophyta; Magnoliopsida; Arecales; Arecaceae. The record is from RNAcentral.
AUCCAUGCACCUAACCAAGAGUCCAAUUUGUGAAGAACUCUAAUCUAAGUGUCAUGCUAUAUUUUAAUUUAGAUUUUUUUCAUGCCAUUAGAAAGUUAGCACCUUCAUUUUGGUCCAUUGGAUGGCCAAAAGUCAUUAAUGGAUGGUGGAGAAAAAUUGCUCCAUGAGAAGCUGCGCGAUGUAUCAGAGAAUCAUCAAGAAAAAUAUUUCGAAGAGUUCUUCUGUGUGA